This 518-nucleotide ribosomal RNA is filed under the name uncultured bacterium. RNAcentral describes it as "bacterial SSU rRNA". It matches the Rfam family "Bacterial small subunit ribosomal RNA", at positions 10 to 518 of the family's 1533-position model. The record is from RNAcentral.
AGUUGAUCAUGGCUCAGGAUGAACGCUAGCUACAGGCUUAACACAUGCAAGUCGAGGGGCAGCAUGGUCUUAGCUUGCUAAGAUUGAUGGCGACCGGCGCACGGGUGAGUAACGCGUAUCCAACCUUCCCUAUAGUAGGGGAUAGCCCGUAGAAAUGCGGAUUAAUACCCUAUGUUGAUUUUGAGGACAUCUGAUGAAUACCAAAGGUUCACCGCUAUAGGAUGGGGAUGCGUCUGAUUAGGUAGUCGGCGGGGUAACGGCCCACCGAGCCAACGAUCAGUAGGGGUUCUGAGAGGAAGGUCCCCCACAUUGGAACUGAGACACGGUCCAAACUCCUACGGGAGGCAGCAGUGAGGAAUAUUGGUCAAUGGGCGAGAGCCUGAACCAGCCAAGUAGCGUGCCAGGAUGACGGCCCUAUGGGUUGUAAACUGCUUUUAUGCGGGGAUAAAGUGAGGGACGUGUCCCUUAUUGUAGGUACCGCAUGAAUAAGGACCGGCUAAUUCCGUGCCAGCAGCCGC